CUCAUCAAGAGGCCAAGAUGAUUCUACAGGGAGACAGGGAACAUUUGCUCCAGACCGACUGCCCUCCCUCCAGGCUGAAGUGCUUGCCCAGGACCUGCAAAGAAAGCACCUCAGAACAUGUGCUAGACUCUACCCCACCCCUGCAGUCCUUACCCAGGAAUAAAAAGUAGCUCUCUUCUUUGUUCAGGGAACAGUUGGACACUCUCAUGACUGAUGCUUUGUGUCCCCUCUGCUCGAGGAAGAAGCCCCAAUGAAGAGAACUGGUCCUUUAAUAGUUAUGCCUUUAACUGGUUCUUCUGAUGCAGAGAACGUGAACCCCCAAGCCAGUGACAGUGAGAUGGAUCAAGAGUGCUCACGAUGACAUCCUCCCCAGCUGAAUCUGAUUUUCUUUAUUCCCCAGUGGCCCUGUGCUGGUCGGCUCCGAUGCUGCAACAAACACCUGAGAACAACAACUUAGAGGAGGAAAGAUGUACUUGGGCCCAUGGAUUUGAGAGGUUUUUAGUGACCAUGGUUGGCUGGCUUGAUUGCUUUGGGCUGAGGUGAGGCAGAAAUUCAUGGAGGAAGGGUAUGUAGCAGAGGAAAGUUCUGGAGCUCAGAGCAGCCAGGAAGGAGAGAGAAAGCAGGGUUGGGAAGAGGCAGGUCAGGAACAAGAAAUAACCCCCAACCACGCAGAGCAUGGUCCCAGUGACCUAAUUCUUCCAACCAUGCCCCACCACCUACAGUUUCCACUACCUCCCAGUAGUC
Molecule: long non-coding RNA, 744 nt
Filed under: Marmota monax (woodchuck)
Lineage: Eukaryota; Metazoa; Chordata; Mammalia; Rodentia; Sciuridae
Source: RNAcentral